UGGGGAAUUGUUCGCAAUGGGCGCAAGCCUGACGACGCAACGCCGCGUGGAGGAUGAAGGUCUUCGGAUUGUAAACUCCUGUUGCCAGGGACGAAAAGCUCCGACCUAACACGUCGGAGUCUGACGGUACCUGGUGAGGAAGCCCCGGCUAACUCUGUGCCAGCAGCCGCGGUAAUACAGAGGGGGCUAGCGUUGUUCGGAAUUACUGGGCGUAAAGGGCGCGUAGGCGGCCCGCUAAGUCGAACGUGAAAUCCCCGGGCUCAACCCGGGAACUGCGUCCGAUACUGGCAGGCUUGAAUCCGGGAGAGGGAUGUGGAAUUCCAGGUGUAGCGGUGAAAUGCGUAGAUAUCUGGAGGAACACCGGUGGCGAAGGCGGCAUCCUGGACCGGUAUUGACGCUGAGGCGCGAAAGCCAGGGGAGCAAACGGGAUUAGAUACCCCGGUAGUCCUGGCCCUAAACGAUGAAUGCUUGGUGUGGCGGGUAUCGAUCCCUGCCGUGCCGAAGCUAACGCUAA
This 514-nucleotide ribosomal RNA is filed under the name uncultured Acidobacteriota bacterium. RNAcentral describes it as "bacterial SSU rRNA". It matches the Rfam family "Bacterial small subunit ribosomal RNA", at positions 355 to 861 of the family's 1533-position model. The record is from RNAcentral. Lineage: Bacteria; Pseudomonadati; Acidobacteriota.